Molecule: ribosomal RNA, 420 nt
Filed under: Gulella cruciata
Lineage: Eukaryota; Metazoa; Mollusca; Gastropoda; Stylommatophora; Streptaxidae
Description: partial 16S ribosomal RNA
Source: RNAcentral
AAUCCUAUGUAUAAUAUAUAAGGCGAUUUCUGCCCAAUGAAUAAUUUAAUGGCCGCAGUACUUUGACUGUGCUAAGGUAGCAUAAUAAAUUGGCUUUUAAAUGAGGUCUAGAAUGAAAGAAUAUUUGAGUAGGAAUUGUCUCUAUAUAAUUUUAUUGAAUUUAAUUUAUUAGGUGAAAAGACCUAAUUUUAAAAGAAAGACGAGAAGACCCUUAGAAUUUUUUAAAAGUUUAAUUCUUUUUGUUGGGGUGACAUAUUAACAUUUAAACUUUUUUUUAUUUCAUGUCGGUUUUAUCAAGUAAGAAUAAAUUACCUUAGGGAUAACAGCAUAAUUAUUUUUUAGAUUAUGACCUCGAUGUUGGACUAGGAACCUAAUAGUUAGUAAUUAAGUUGGAUAGUUCUGUUCGAACUUUUAUUUCCU